UGUCAAGGGAUGGGAAUCGAACCCACGACCUUCCGCUUACUGGGCAGAUGCCAUGACCACUUGGCUACCCUGGAC
This 75-nucleotide transfer RNA is filed under the name Cordylochernes scorpioides. RNAcentral describes it as "tRNA-Thr". Lineage: Eukaryota; Metazoa; Arthropoda; Arachnida; Pseudoscorpiones; Chernetidae. The record is from RNAcentral.